This 259-nucleotide unclassified non-coding RNA is filed under the name Hevea brasiliensis (rubber tree). The record is from RNAcentral. Lineage: Eukaryota; Viridiplantae; Streptophyta; Magnoliopsida; Malpighiales; Euphorbiaceae.
CCGGCAUUGUAACAAAUACCGAAAACAAUGUCUGCUGUACUAGGUUGUAAUGGGAUGUGAUUCUUUUUCAACAGUUUCAUCACUUCAACCAUGAAACUUACAUCAUUGUGUUCCUUAGCAUAUGACAGCAAAUGGUUGGCAGAGCCUAUGUUAGGACUCAAUCCAUAUACAUUAUGCUUCCACAAGGCCAUUUUCCCAAAGUCAAUGGCCCCAACUCGAGCACAUGCUUUAGUAACUUCACGGCAAAGAUGGCAAUUAA